GUGGAAUUGAUAGACAAAGCCAAGAAAGCUGUAUGACACAACAAAUUAAAAUCAAAACCAAAGAUUAAUAGUUUACAUUAACUAGGAUCGUCAGCAGUCAAGUCUUUCCACCAAAAACUAAUGGAAAAGAAGGAAGCUACUGCAAAAUCCAGUCCAAGAAAGCAUUUUCCAGCUAAUAAUUUGUAACCCAACCCUGCAUAUCAAGUAGACAAGCUGAUCAGUCAGACAUA
This 230-nucleotide unclassified non-coding RNA is filed under the name Hevea brasiliensis (rubber tree). Lineage: Eukaryota; Viridiplantae; Streptophyta; Magnoliopsida; Malpighiales; Euphorbiaceae. The record is from RNAcentral.